Rattus norvegicus (Norway rat) is the source of this 2119-nucleotide long non-coding RNA. Lineage: Eukaryota; Metazoa; Chordata; Mammalia; Rodentia; Muridae. The record is from Ensembl.
CUGCAGUGCUCUCCCCUGUGAGCUCCCAGCUCUCCUGUUCUGAAAUAGGAACCGCCUUCUCUGGGGCAAAGGAGCAGGAAAGCUGGCACAAGCCCUGUCCUGCUUGUAUGGGUUAUCUGUUGCUGUGUAAGAAAUGGUCCGCCAUCGGGGGCCUUCCCUUGGGUAGGGAGGGAUUUGGGAGCUGCUGAGCGUGGAGACUAGCAUGGGCGUGCACAGGGGCCGCUGUCAUCUGCAGCUGGAGAAUUCCACCUUUUUCUGUGGCUAUCAGCAGGAUCCCUUCCUUGAUCAUGCCCCCGUGGGUCUCUGGGGUAGAUGUUGUACCAGAGAACCCUGCUUCCUCCUGAACUUGAUACCAGAGAAGGAGGUGGAGGAAGAAAGUUGCAGUGCCUUUAAGUCGCCACGCCCUAAAAUGAGGAAAAUGAGAUGAGGGAGGUGGAGGCAGUCACAGCCAUAAGCUCAGUGCAUUUUGCUAUCAGAACAGCCUUAUAGCUGGGACCAAACCAGGGUACAAGAUAGACCUCUACCUGCUUGUCUUAGGGAGAGGUGGCAGGAAGUAAGGAUUCCCAGAUUGCAUCCUCAGCUGCCAUCUUCUCAAGAAUGCUUGCUCUGUAAGUCUCCGAGGUAGCCACCUUAAGCAUUGUUUACCACUUCUGGUUUCCUUUAGCUAAGAAUUGACUAAAGAAAUUGGGGGCAUUUCUGUGGAACUACACAAGCUUUCUAAAUAAGAACAGGCUUAGAUUCUGCAGGUUCCUGAGCUGCAGAACAAGAAGCAGUUCUCUUUCCCUUCUGCUGAUGGUCUGGAAGCCAGGGGCCACCUGAGUCAGUGCAUUAGUCAAGGUCUCCCACCCAGAAGCAACUUCUCCCUGAGCCAGGAACACCCGAGAAUGCAGAUGUUCGUGCACUUGAUAGCCCUGGUCAGUGUGGCAUGCAGACUAGCGUAUUGCCUCCUGGGUGCCCUGUUGGAAGUGUGCUCUUAAAAAACCCUGUAAGAGAAGCUUAAAAGGUAGCUCUCCAGUGCCUCACAGGACGGCUGCUGCUUCCUGCUAGCCGGUCUCACCUUCCUUAGGUGGAAGCUCUUGUUGGGUUUGAUGCGUUGCCCUUCUCUAACAGUCUCUUCCCUGUAGCCAUGCUUGUUUAGUGUGUACUUGAGGUACUAGUGGAUUGUGGGUUUCCUUCUGAUCUGAGGAGGGGCCCGGAAUGGCUUGGAUACUGUCUCCUUGGGCUUCUCAGGCCUUCUCACUGGAGCUGUGUUGCACUGAAAGUCCAGCCAGCUCGUACAAGGCUCUGGUGCUGGCAGUCAUGUAACAAGGAUGGAACCUUCUUCCCAUCUCCACCUUGAAUGUUGGCUGCCUGAGGGUGUGCCAUAAUCCAUUCAUUGCCUCCAGAAGGAAAGCACCGCUGUCUUCAUGUGGCUCAAGCCCUUUGAUGUGUUUUCUGGACUCCAUGCCCAUGGCAGCUAUUUAUCAAUCUGCGAAACUCAAUCACUGACCUGUCCUUCCCGAGGGAAGGUGGGGCCUUCCCGUGUAGCAGGGGACACCGUCUCUUGGGGAAGAAGGUUCUGUCUGAACUUGGAGUAGGUGUGGUUGCCCUAACCCCUAGCCUCUGGCGUUUAGUGCCGGGAAUUCGGGUUCCUCAGUUGGCUUGGUCCUUCAGUGCUUAGCAGUGUUUCCUUCUCUGGUAAUGGGUUUCCACGUGGUGGCUUUAAUGAGGCUAGCUCACAGAAACUUGACUGAAGACUGUAAGGAUGACUGACAGGUCCUUAUUUUUCCAUUUGACCAACCAAGACACCUUCGCCACCCUCUGAAACUGUAGCUUUCCUCCAGGCGGGUUCUGGGACCUGGUGCCUAUUGGCAGAAAGUAACUCUAGUCUUCAGGGGGCCAUGGUUCCUCCCUGCUUGCUCAGCUCUUCUUGUAGCCCUGGUGGCCGUACUGCAUGCCCAGUAGUGGGAGGGUGGCAGCAAGAGGCUGGAUGCCUGGUGGACACAUGGCUGUGCUGGUGUUUGCCCAGGGAGCCCCUAUCAGGGCUUCAGACCCAGAUCCCAUGAAUCCAGCACAGAAUGCCCAUGCUUGCCUCUGCACCCCCUUCCUCUCCACUUCAGUCUUCUGAAAACUGCCCAGC